CUACGGGCCGCUCCAGUGAGGAAUAUUGCACAAUGGGGGGAACCCUGAUGCAGCAACGCCGCGUGGAGGAUGACGCAUUUCGGUGUGUAAACUCCUUUUAUAUGUCAAGAAAAUGACGGUAGCAUAUGAAUAAGCGCCGGCUAACUCCGUGCCAGCAGCCGCGGUAAUACGGAGGGCGCAAGCGUUACUCGGAAUCACUGGGCGUAAAGGACGCGUAGGCGGGUUGAAAAGUCAGGUGUGAAAGCCUACAGCUUAACUGUAGAACUGCACUUGAAACUCUCAACCUAGAGUAUGGGAGGGGCAGAUGGAAUUAGUGGUGUAGGGGUAAAAUCCGUAGAUAUCACUAGGAAUACCUAGAGCGAAGGCGAUCUGCUGGAACAUUACUGACGCUAAGGCGUGAAAGCGUGGGGAGCAAACAGGAUUAGAUACCCCUGUAGUC
Molecule: ribosomal RNA, 439 nt
Filed under: uncultured bacterium
Lineage: Bacteria
Description: partial 16S ribosomal RNA
Rfam family: Bacterial small subunit ribosomal RNA
Source: RNAcentral